AAGUCGUAACAAGGUUUCCGUAGGUGAACCUGCGGAAGGAUCAUUAAUACGCUUUUGUUUGUAACAAAACAAAACGUUUUAAACCCCAAAAUUGAAAUAGUGGAAACAUAAUUUCCGGAUGCGAAUGUUGGGGAACUUGAGUAAAAUCGGUUCUUUGAAAAAGGGACUUCAAGCAAUUGACACUUCAGAGUAGAGCAGUGAGGUGAAACUCGAAAGAGUUUGGUUCUGAAAAACAUUUGUAUCCGGUUAUCACAUCUGUUCUACAAACAAAUUAUCAAACAAUAAACCCCAUGUACAACAACUUGAACUAAACAUUUUUUUGUUGUCUGCUUUGCGGCAGAUGCAAAGAAAAAACCUGAACUUAAGAACAACUCUUAACAACGGAUAUCUUGGUUCUC
RNAcentral lists this unclassified non-coding RNA (398 nucleotides) under fungal sp. Its description in RNAcentral is "partial internal transcribed spacer region". The stretch from base 1 to 46 matches the Rfam family "Eukaryotic small subunit ribosomal RNA", at positions 1786 to 1831 of the family's 1831-position model. The record is from RNAcentral. Lineage: Eukaryota; Fungi.